Bos taurus (domestic cattle) is the source of this 481-nucleotide long non-coding RNA. The record is from Ensembl. NCBI's taxonomy places the organism in Eukaryota, Metazoa, Chordata, Mammalia, Artiodactyla, Bovidae.
UAGUGGGAUGAUUAUGCUUGAAUUUGCUUACUCUUAAUCAACUACACUCACUCAGAGAAUCUCACCAUUUGAUUCUGGGGGUUCCCAGGUGGUGCUAGUGGAAAAGACACCGACUGCCAGUGCGGGAGACAUGGGAGCAGGGGCAUCUCAGAGAUCAUCUCCGGUAACGGGGGCUUGACUUCGUGAUGAGUGAAAGAAUCCAGGCCUGAUCACUGGGACCCGGGAGAAGUCGGACUGAAACAAAAGAGGAGCCUGAGGGCGGCGGCGGAGGACUCAGAACAGUCUAGCACCCAAGGCCAACACAGAAGCUGGCUGAGGCAGGCCCUCUGUGCCUGCGAGGGCAGUGUCCUUGGCCAUGUGUCCUGGGAGAGAAAAAAGCGGGUCUUAGAGUGGGCCUUAGAGUCUUAGGAGCUCUUAGACUUCCCUGCUGGCUCAGACGGUAAAGCGUCUGUCUACAAUGCAGGAGACCUGGGUUCGAUCC